RNAcentral lists this ribosomal RNA (253 nucleotides) under uncultured bacterium. RNAcentral's name for it is "partial 16S ribosomal RNA". It matches the Rfam family "Bacterial small subunit ribosomal RNA", at positions 524 to 776 of the family's 1533-position model. The record is from RNAcentral.
UACGAAGGGGGCUAGCGUUGCUCGGAAUCACUGGGCGUAAAGGGUGCGUAGGCGGGUCUUUAAGUCAGGGGUGAAAUCCUAGAGCUCAACUUCAGAACUGCCUUUGAUACUGAGGAUCUUGAGUUCGGGAGAGGUGAGUGGAACUGCGAGUGUAGAGGUGAAAUUCGUAGAUAUUCGCAAGAACACCAGUGGCGAAGGCGGCUCACUGGCCCGAUACUGACGCUGAGGCACGAAAGCGUGGGGAGCAAACAGG